RNAcentral lists this ribosomal RNA (226 nucleotides) under uncultured bacterium. RNAcentral describes it as "partial 16S ribosomal RNA". It matches the Rfam family "Bacterial small subunit ribosomal RNA", at positions 524 to 744 of the family's 1533-position model. The record is from RNAcentral.
UACGAAGGGGACUAGCGUUGUUCGGAUUUACUGGGCGUAAAGGGCGCGUAGGCGGCCAUCUUUGUCAGGCGUGAAAGCCCCGGGCUCAACCGAUGGACUGGCGUCUGGGACGGGGUGGCGUAGAGAUCGGGAGAGGAGGCGUGGAAUUCCCCAGUGUAGAGGUGAAAUUCGUAGAUAUUGGGAGGAACACCCCGUGGCGAAGGCGGCCCCCCUGGGUGGCCCUGAC